GCAGUCUGUGGCCAAGGUCACACGCGUGCCGCAGCGUCGUCAGUUUCUCACUCUUUGAUCCUCUUGAGAUGCCACGUUGCGUCCUGGGACGUGUCCGCCCAGCUGCAGCCUUCCUCGUUGCAGGCGAGGCGGCGCAGCCCGGAAGCCGUGAGGAAGCAGGAGAGGGGGACCAGCUGUCAGACCUCAAGCCCAUCCACCCUUCCAUUCCUGGGACGGCCUUUAAGACUUCUCGCCCGAUUUUCACAGCAGCCUUACCAGAAGAGCCCAAGUGUAACACGCUGCCGCCUCCUCCUCACUACCCUCCUCCUGCCCCACAGGCCGCCCUGCUAGGGCACACGUCACAUCACACACCAAGGGACCCCACUCUUCAAAGCCUUUGCCCGAUCCCCAGAGGAAGCCAGAGCCAGAGAUCAGCAUGAGCGCCCCACGCCCACGGGCCACUAGGAACUGCUCGCGUUUGUGCUGUCUUGCUGGGCGGGCAGGGGGACGCCAGGGCCGCACACACACUGGGCAAACUCCCCACCCCCAGCCACACCUGCACCCC
This 544-nucleotide long non-coding RNA is filed under the name Heterocephalus glaber (naked mole-rat). Its description in RNAcentral is "lncRNA (ENSHGLG00100034512.1)". Lineage: Eukaryota; Metazoa; Chordata; Mammalia; Rodentia; Bathyergidae. The record is from RNAcentral.